CUGGUAGAGAUACUGGAGUGCUAGCUUGCUAGAACUUGAAAACAGGUGCUGCACGGCUGUCGUCAGCUCGUGUCGUGAGAUGUUGGGUUAAGUCCCGCAACGAGCGCAACCCUCGUCGUUAGUUGCUAACAGUUAGGCUGAGAACUCUAACGAGACUGCCUUCGUAAGGAGGAGGAAGGUGAGGACGACGUCAAGUCAUCGUGGCCCUUACGGCCAGGGCUACACACGUGCUACAAUGGGGUGUACAGAAAGCUGCAAUAUCGCGAGAUGGAGCAAAUCUCAAAAACACCUCCCAGUUCGGAUUGUUCUCUGCAACUCGAGAACAUGAAGUUGGAAUCGCUAGUAAUCGUAGAUCAGCAUUGCUACGGUGAAUACGUUCCCGGGCCUU
This 388-nucleotide ribosomal RNA is filed under the name uncultured Arcobacter sp. RNAcentral's name for it is "bacterial SSU rRNA". It matches the Rfam family "Bacterial small subunit ribosomal RNA", at positions 997 to 1382 of the family's 1533-position model. Lineage: Bacteria; Pseudomonadati; Campylobacterota; Epsilonproteobacteria; Campylobacterales; Arcobacteraceae. The record is from RNAcentral.